Molecule: ribosomal RNA, 250 nt
Filed under: uncultured Lactobacillus sp.
Lineage: Bacteria; Bacillati; Bacillota; Bacilli; Lactobacillales; Lactobacillaceae
Description: partial 16S ribosomal RNA
Rfam family: Bacterial small subunit ribosomal RNA
Source: RNAcentral
CAACGUGGGGAACCUGCCCCAUAGUCUGGGAUACCACUUGGAAACAGGUGCUAAUACCGGAUAAGAAAGCGGAUCGCAUGAUCAGCUUUUAAAAGGCGGCGUAAGCUGUCGCUAUGGGAUGGCCCCGCGGUGCAUUAGCUAGUUGGUAAGGUAAAGGCUUACCAAGGCGAUGAUGCAUAGCCGAGUUGAGAGACUGAUCGGCCACAUUGGGACUGAGACACGGCCCAAACUCCUACGGGAGGCAGCAGCA